RNAcentral lists this non-coding RNA (63 nucleotides) under Drosophila guanche. The record is from RNAcentral. Lineage: Eukaryota; Metazoa; Arthropoda; Insecta; Diptera; Drosophilidae.
UUCGGGUUUCGGAAAACGCGUCGAAGCGUUGCGUGGUCUUGAAACGUUUUCCGAAACGGAGAA